UACGUAGGGUGCAAGCGUUAAUCGGAAUUACUGGGCGUAAAGCGUGCGCAGGCGGUUAUGUAAGACAGUUGUGAAAUCCCCGGGCUCAACCUGGGAACUGCAUCUGUGACUGCAUAGCUAGAGUACGGUAGAGGGGGAUGGAAUUCCGCGUGUAGCAGUGAAAUGCGUAGAUAUCUGGAGGAACACCGUUGGCGAAGGCGGCAUCCUGGACCGGCAUUGACGCUGAGGAGCGAAAGCCAGGGGAGCAAACGGG
RNAcentral lists this ribosomal RNA (253 nucleotides) under uncultured bacterium. Its description in RNAcentral is "partial 16S ribosomal RNA". It matches the Rfam family "Bacterial small subunit ribosomal RNA", at positions 524 to 776 of the family's 1533-position model. The record is from RNAcentral.